Molecule: ribosomal RNA, 465 nt
Filed under: uncultured bacterium
Lineage: Bacteria
Description: partial 16S ribosomal RNA
Rfam family: Bacterial small subunit ribosomal RNA
Source: RNAcentral
CCUACGGGAGGCAGCAGUAGGGAAUCUUCCACAAUGGGCGAAAGCCUGAUGGAGCAACGCCGCGUGGGUGAAGAAGGUCUUCGGAUCGUAAAACCCUGUUGUUAGAGAAGAAAGUGCGUGAGAGUAACUGUUCACGUUUCGACGGUAUCUAACCAGAAAGCCACGGCUAACUACGUGCCAGCAGCCGCGGUAAUACGUAGGUGGCAAGCGUUAUCCGGAUUUAUUGGGCGUAAAGGGAACGCAGGCGGUCUUUUAAGUCUGAUGUGAAAGCCUUCGGCUUAACCGGAGUAGUGCAUUGGAAACUGGGGGACUGGAGUGCAGAAGAGGAGAGUGGAACUCCAUGGGUAGCGGUGAAAUGCGUAGAUAUAUGGAAGAACACCAGUGGCGAAAGCGGCUCUCUGGUCUGUAACUGAUGCUGAGGUUCGAAAGCGUGGGUAGCAAACAGGAUUAGAUACCCGAGUAGUC